Molecule: unclassified non-coding RNA, 314 nt
Filed under: plant metagenome
Description: partial contains 5.8S ribosomal RNA, internal transcribed spacer 2, and large subunit ribosomal RNA
Rfam family: 5.8S ribosomal RNA (bases 1-105)
Source: RNAcentral
GAAACGCGAUAGUUAAUGUGAAUUGCAGAAUUCAGUGAAUCAUCGAGUCUUUGAACGCACAUUGCGCCCAUAGGUAUUCCUUUGGGCAUGUCUGUUUGAGCGUCAUUACAACCCUCAGCUAACCGCUGGUUUUGAACCUGAACGGGUGACACCGCGCCGGUUUUAAAGUUGUAAGCUCUUCUUGCCGCUCUGCCCAACCAGAACAUAGUAAGCACUACUUGUCCGGGUGAAGCUGAACGGUACGGCCUGAACAAAACCUACCCACUCUCAAGGUUUGACCUCAGAUCAGACAAGGAUACCCGCUGAACUUAAGC